This 180-nucleotide microRNA precursor is filed under the name Oryza barthii. RNAcentral's name for it is "MIR812 microRNA precursor family". It matches the Rfam family "MIR812 microRNA precursor family". The record is from Rfam by way of RNAcentral. Lineage: Eukaryota; Viridiplantae; Streptophyta; Magnoliopsida; Poales; Poaceae.
AAUAAGUGCAGUUUUGCACUAUUUACGUUCAAUGUUUGACUGUUCGUCUUAUUUGAAAAUUUUUAUGAUUAGUAUUUUUAUUGCUAUUAGAUGAUAAAACAUGAAUAGUACUCUAUGUGUGACUAAAUAUCUUUAAAUUUAGUCAAACGUUGUGCACGGAUAUCCACGGCUGCACUUAUU